UAAAAACACAUUUGGUUUUAAGGGUGUAUAUGCACAGGGCUAUGUCUUAGCUGGCAAAGCUAACAGAUUUUGCUGAUGUGAAUGUUUUACUUCAACCCCGCUCCAUUCACUCAUCUGUUUCACCCUCUGUCACAGAUCAUCCUGAAGCAGAUGGUGGAUGCAGCCAUUGAGAUGCACUCAAGACAUUAAGUUGAAAAACAUCCUAGUGGAAACUGGAUCCAUUGUCCCGAGUGCCUGAGUGAUUGAUUUUGGUUGUGGCUGCAUUGUGAGAAAGGGAUAUUACUGUUAUUAUUGUGGUACCUUCUCAAAAGCCUCUCCAGAAUGGUUUAUGGUCUGAGAAUACCAGGCCAGUCCCUCAACAGUGUGGCAGCUGUGAGCACUGUUGUAUGACCUGCUUGACCAUAAGCAUUUAUUUAAAACUCAAGUUUACCUCGACAGAGGGCCUGUCCACAGGUGGCCGGCAUCCAUACAUACAUCCACACGUUGGCUUUUCACUGAACCCGCGGUUUCACGCAUUUUGGACCAGUGGGAGGAGCUUAGGCUGCAUUUUGCAGUCACUAAGUCAAGUGAAACUGCUACAUGGCUGAGGUUUUACACUCCAUGUACAGUGUAUCUGACUUUUUUGAAGUCGGUGCUGGGUGAGGUACAGUUGGCCAUCAAAGCUUUUGAGGGAGAACAGGUAGAUCCUCUUAAGCUGCUUGACAGCUUGGUUAGCCUGAUAAGUCUGUGAGCAGUAGGGUGCUGAAUCCACUGGCAAAUGUUGAUGUACUCAAAGGGCCAACAGCUGAAUACAUCGGUCCCAAACCGUACUUUAGUUACCUUUUUGAGUCAAAGACAGCUGAGCUCCACCUUGCGCCUGAGGAUGAAAACAGUGUCCGAAAGCGGUGUGUAGACUUCACCAUCUCCCUCACUAGUGAGUUGAGGGUGAGACUGCUGGACAACAUCGAAGCAUUGCAGUACGUCAGUUUUCAAUAUGGAGGAAACUCUGAAGCACAAUAAGAGUAAUAGCCAAGCUCCUUGGCUACUCCCCUGCAGUGAUCGACAAGAUUGUCCAGCAAUGGCGUGCCAUCCAUCUUAAGGGAACAAGACAAAAAGCACACUGGGUUUCUGGAGUGAGAUUUAGAAGUUCAAGAACUUGCCAUGGCUGCUGUAUCUGUGUUGUCCUUGCCACACUCGAAUGCUGAAGUCAAGAGAGUAUUCAGCCAGAUGAGUGUGGUAAAAAGCAAACUUAGAAAUCGGAUGUCCUUGCAGACCCUUAACUCCAUCCUUACAUCUGGUAUGGACUGAAUCUGUCUGGUGAGGCUUGCUAUGAGCACCAGCUGCCUGAUAACGUUUUGCAACUUUUUGGCACGUUAGCUGGUUACUUAUUUAAGUCUGCUCCCUCAGUUACUGAACCUGCCAUAGAGAGCCUUGACCAAAUGAGGAUGACCCACUCUUUCUAUGAGCCUGCACAGCAUGAGUGUGUGU
Epinephelus moara (kelp grouper) is the source of this 1467-nucleotide long non-coding RNA. RefSeq lists it as uncharacterized. The transcript has 3 exons. NCBI's taxonomy places the organism in Eukaryota, Metazoa, Chordata, Actinopteri, Perciformes, Serranidae. The record is from RefSeq and is a predicted model, not a curated record.